This 166-nucleotide unclassified non-coding RNA is filed under the name uncultured fungus. RNAcentral describes it as "sequence contains ITS2". Lineage: Eukaryota; Fungi. The record is from RNAcentral.
CAACCCCUCAGGCCCUGGUGCCUGGCGUCGGGGCCCUCCCUCGCGGGAGGCCCCCAGAGACAGUGGCGGACCCGCCGCGGCUCCGAGCGCAGUAGUAAAAUUCUCGCUCCGGGGUACCGCGGUCGGCACCGGCCGUGAAACUAGGUCUCCGGACCGACCCAAACAA